GUUAGGAAUCAUUUUAAUACUCGUUACACUGAGUGAUCUAAGUAAAUGAUAUUGAUAAAAAUACAAUACACAAGCAAAUAAAAAUAAAGUGAAAAGGGUAAAAUUGGAUUACCCCUUUGAAGAUGGAACCGUGAAGCACCAAACAUGAAAAGGGGGACCAAAUUGAAAUCCCUAAAAAUCCCUCUCCAUUGCUUCUUCAGCGGCGAUUGGAGGAUCUCAACGAUGAGGAGAAGUGGCCACCGGUUCCCCUGUCUUGGGCCGUGACCGAGCGGCGUGAUUUAGCUACGAUAGGCAUUCCGAGACCCCAAGAGAAGCGACGAGCAGCAUUGGUGGCGUCGGUGGAACAAAAUUCAACUUGGUGAAAGCAUUUGACAUUGAAUCGGUCCGAUUUGGGGUUCUUUCGAAGUUCUUGAAACCAACGAGCUUAAAGUCGUUGGUAACUGCUUCCCCGGUGUUAUCAUUGGCCAUGGAUUCGGUUAUUGUGGUGGAGUUGGUGGCGGUAGCACUAUAGAUCCUCCAUAAAGCCCUGGCUUAACAGUACGUAGAGGAGCUGCUCUUGGAGACAUCAUUGCUACCCUUAGGGUCAUUAAUUAUUGGUCCUCUUGCACAUCACACCUUCCUUUAAAAGUGGCCCCAUGAAACCUUAUGCUCUAAGGACCUAUUCCACAAGCCUCUUGGUGAGGUCCUCACAUUGGUUCUACAUCCCAUGGACCUUGAAUUGUGUGAGAGAGAUUGUUGAUAGGCUUUUCUAG
This is a non-coding RNA of Lupinus albus (white lupine), 752 nucleotides long. Lineage: Eukaryota; Viridiplantae; Streptophyta; Magnoliopsida; Fabales; Fabaceae. The record is from the annotation of a GenBank genome assembly.